UUUCUUGGGCCACUCCCGCGGCAUAAGGAGGUUCCCAGGCUAGGGAUCGAAUCGGAGCUGUAGCUGCCGGCCUACGCCAGAGCCACAGCAACGCAGGAUCCAAGCCACGUCUGCAACCUGCACCACAGCUCACAGCAACGCUGGAUCCUUAACCCACUGAGCAAGGCCAGGGAUCAAACCUGAAACCUCAUGGUUCCUAGUCGUAUUCGUUAACCACUGAGCCACGACGGGAACUCCUGUUUGUUUGAUUUUAAGCUGGUGGAAGGCCAGGCUCAUGGUUGACUCUCCAGCAGCACUUCACUGUUCAUGUAUAACAUGGACUUGAUAAAUGUUGUGGAAUGAAGUGAAACUGCCUACCUCUGGAUCGGAACCCUAUCCCACAAACAGUACUUUUGGUAACUCAUCCUGUUUCCAAAGAGACCUACUGUUCCUUGGGAUGCCAGGCACAGAGGGUCUGGUCCUGGUGCUGGAAGAGGUCACCCUCUAGUGGGAGGACAGUGUCUUUCUGCUGCCAGUUACAUGGAGAUAAUGAGUUGCAAAUGUUGAAUUGGCUUUUGGAGUUCACAGCCUGCCACUUUGAACCACGACCAGCAUGGAAAGUGAUUGGGCAAGCUUGUGACUCCUGGUGCCUUUGUCUAUUAAAGCACUUUAUAUAGCGAUGACUUAUCUGCUUCUUUGCCUAAUUAAAACAGCUCCUAAUUAAAGCUGUUUUCAACCCAAUAAAGAGCCUCACCCCACCUAAUAGAGUUGGGCAACUCCUUGGUGGCCUCUGCCUUUGUCCUCUUAGGCUCCAUGGUCUGGGUUAAGAUCCUACACCUUCAGCAGGGCCACCCUCUGAAACAUUUAAUGAGGAGAAGAAUAUUGUUUCUUGGAGAUGUAAUUGCAAGAGAGAGUGCAACCUUCUCUGAGAUAACAAGCAUUUUGAGAUGCAAUGCUUUGGGGAAGAUUUAGCCCAGGUCAACGACUGCCCUAGCUGUCAUGAUUCCUCUUAAUGAUGCCGUGCUUCCGUUUGGCAGAAAGACUCUGGGGUCUCUUUCUAAAGUUCAUUAAACUUUUGUCUGAGAGACUUGUACUUGGGACUUGUGGUUCUGUGUCUUUUCUUACAGCUUUUCAGGCUGUUACUACAGUUUGCUGAUUGUGGCUGUGGGCACAACUGUGAAAUAGGUACCUUGCCCUUUGAAGCCCCCAGCACUGCCAGACCGUAUAGACUCAAUGCUGCGGGUACAAAAGCCUGUGCUUUUUAUUAGGGUUCCUGAAGACUGGAAACUGGGUGCAGAACCGCUGCUGAGAGACACACUUGAGGACUCAUAGUUUUUCUAUCUUCUCAGGAGCCCACCUGUCUUUCUCAAAAGUUACAUGUGAAAGAUUUUUAUUUGGCACUUAGCUUUAAUGUACAUAGGAAGCCAUCUACUUGAAGUAACUCUUCAGAAAACCACUUUGUGAAGUGGUUACAACUUUGGUAAUUUGAAAAACGUCUCCCUAAUUUAUCUGUCUUAAAAAUUUCAACUUUUUAACAUCACACUGUCAUCUUUCAAGGCGUAGCUGUGUUUUUUUCUUUUGCUUUUCUUCCCACUGCCUCCCUUUUAUUUCCUGGGAAGGGAAUUGAUUUCCUUCACAUGCGAUAGAGGGUUUUUCUUUCCCUCGUUGCCUGUGUCUUUGUUUCACUGUGUCAGAAUCUUUCAUUUGUAAGGAAACAGAGGGAGAACCUUAAACUUGGAGUGAGAGAGCCUAGCGAUCCCAUCCAGCUUUUUCCUAAGUUAAUGUGAGCUUUAGACAAGCUAGGUAACCUCCCUGAGCCUUAGUUUAUUCACCUAUAAAAUGGGUAUAAAAAAUCCCUCUAUCAUUUUGUUGCCACAGGAUUAAUUUUAAUAAUACUAUGUGUAUAAAGCACUUGGUACCUGACACAAUGUAGGUAAGGUCUGAUUUGGGAGCUCUCCUCCCAAUGAAAAUGUGACCUCUUGCCAAUGACCUCUUGCCAAAAUACUUUGUGAUAUUUGUUCUCACCCCUCCCUGCCCCCCAUGGGGGGGAAAUACUGUGCUUGUUAUAUCACCAACCACAAAAUGUGAAGUGGUUACAACUUUGGUAAUUUGAAAAAUGUUUCCCAUCCCUGUUUCCUUCUGCACUGUCCAGGAUGUGUUUCUCUAUACAAAUAUAUCUACGGCCACUAAAACAAACCAGAAAUACCCACCCUCAGUGGUCCAUAAGCAAAGAUAACCCAAGCCAAACACGUGGGUGUGGCUCUUUAACAAUGUGGUGGGGGGAAGGGUCACUGCGACAUCUCUCGGCCCCACUCCCAUUUCUGAGUUUUUCAUACCUCAACUGUUUCCUCUUCAUACACAAGAUGGGCUUUUUUUUUUUUAUAGACACGACUCCUAGUCAAGCAGUCCAGGCCCCUUAGACUCAGAGAAGCCCCUUCUGUCUCCUCCCCCACCACGUGUCCCAAGGGGAGAGUGGUCUCAGAUGGGGACCUUUGUGCAAAAUGUUGCUUGAGAGGCUGGAAAAUCAAACUCCUGCGUGCCAGGUUGAUCCCCCUCCUGGCCUCCUGGCCUUGCUUUUCCCUCCUGUUUCGUGUUCAAACACAGUUGCCUCCACCAACCUAGGCUGUCCUGACAGACCCCACCCUUCCUGGCCCCUAGAUCUUUUGUUCUUCUGUCCCAGCCACUGCCCCCUCCCCCACCCCAGUACACUCAGCUUCACUGCUGCUUAAAUGUCAUUUUUGAAACAACAGAAGGACAUGCUGUUUUUUUGCGGCAUCUUGGGGGAAAAAAAUUUUUUUUUUGAUCCAUUUGGUGUUAAGAGCACUCACAAGAAAUGUAUUCAGGGACCCUCGCCAGCCUCUUUCACUGGUGUGGUUCACAUUUUGUGGUUGGUGAUCUAACAAGCACAGUAUUUCCCGCCCAGAAAUGUCCGGUCUCCUAUCAUCUGCAUCCGUCUUCCUUAGAUUUCUUUGUCCUCCAGGUAAUUCUGCAUUCAAAGCACCACAGUUCCGGAUUUAUUUCCAAGCUGGGAAAUCCAUCCUGAUAAAGCCCCUUCUCAGGGAUUUGAACCAGUUCUCCGGAGAAACUGGGAACAUGGCCAAGUCCAGCUUAAUUCUCUGGGCCACAAUGGAGGGAGAGGCUUGAGAGCCUUUGUCCCCCCCACACCUCCCAUUGACCCACGUGGCCAAUGUAAAGCAUUAGAGGAAUCUGUCAGUCUCUUGUGUCAGGACCUCUCUUCCAGAAGGGAACAGUAUGUCUCCUCAGGAAACUAGGAACUCCAAAUCCCUUGGUUCUUUAUCUCUCUGUCCUCCAGGCCCUCCCACAACUGUGAUGAUGUACAUUCACUCCUUAUUAAUCCCCUUAGAUGGAAAGUUCUUGAGGGCAGGAUCCGAGUCUGACGCAUCUUCUUGUCCCCCGGUGCCUAGAGCUUGCAGGUGGUCCAUGGCCGCUGACAGCAAGAACACACACCCUCAUCCAUUCAAGUUUGUGUGAGAGGGGAGGCAGGGAGCAGUGCCCACCAGCCCCAGACCUCUUCCUGAUGAUGCUCUGCUGGAGAAAUGGUACACACGGGCUCAUAGCAGUAUUUUCAUUUUAAAACCCAGAGACCCUUUGCUCAUUACUGAAGGUCCAGAUGAGUAAUUAAGUUAUAAAUUGGAAUUUUAAUGAGCUGGCGUUCUGGCCAAAACACCUGCUUGCAGUCUAGUGACCAGAUUAUCCCCGCCCCCUUUGAGUGAUUCACAGUUGCUGAGACUGGUGCUCUGGAGUUAGUUGUUGUCAUCCAUAGACACCCAAAGCAGGAUCUUUGCUGCCUUUCAGGGUCAUCAAAGCAAGCUCCUCUGCCUGCCCCAGGGGAGCCUUAGUGCAAGAGUGGUUUGAGGGUUACUGUCAAGUCUCAGGAUCUUACCUGGCGGACCUCAUCCGGGUUCCUCGGCUGGGGUGGCCUGUCCACUGUAGGCACCCGGAACCCCACAAGAGAAUUGUGGGCCACUUAACAGAUACUUCCCUGCUUACCUUCCAGCCAUUGUACAAAUUCAGAGGAAAUGAGAAAUAGUUCCGUUCACACAUUAACCCCCCCCCCGGCCCCGCCCAAUAGUUCUUGUUCUAAUACCUUGUGUUGACAUUCCACUGGACUGGACUUUUGACAGUUUGAGGUUUGCAGCCUGAGGGGCCUUCUUGAAAAGUGCCCUGUGUCUUCCCUGACUUCGAAUAGACCUUUGUUGGUGGGGGACUCUGGGCAGAGUUCAGAGCCUCUGAGGACAGGCACCCAGGACACAAUCCAUACCACCUAGAAUCUAAUCCAAGUGCCCCGUAGACCCUCCCUCCCUCCGACUUUGUUUGGGGAAGUUCCCUGGAUGUAGAAACCUUGUGUUGUCCAUUUAGCGUGUGGGUCUUUCCUAACUGUGCAUCCUAGUCCUUCCUUCGCGGAACAUCAUUCAUCGAGCCUGUCUUAAAACUCAGCUUAGAGGCGGGCUGCUUAUGUAACAUUGCUCUUGGCACCUCUGUGAAGGAACAUGUUUGAGCUUCUCUUUAUCUGCUUUUCCCUCACCUUUGAAUUCCUCAUGGAGGCUGAGCUUUGCCAAACAGACAGCAGUGGAGCAAAAUUAGAAGCUUCUCGCUGGGCCGGCUUCUAAGGACCUUCCUGGUUUUCUAAGAAGCAACC
Molecule: long non-coding RNA, 4639 nt
Filed under: Sus scrofa (pig)
Lineage: Eukaryota; Metazoa; Chordata; Mammalia; Artiodactyla; Suidae
Description: lncRNA (ENSSSCG00040003453.1)
Source: RNAcentral